GAUGAACGCUAGCUACAGGCUCAACACAUGCAAGUCGAGGGGAAACGACAUCGAAAGCUUGCUUUUGAUGGGCGUCGACCGGCGCACGGGUGAGUAACGCGUAUCCAACCUGCCCACCACUUGGGGAUAACCUUGCGAAAGUAAGACUAAUACCCAAUGAUAUCUCUAGAAGACAUCUGAAAGAGAUUAAAGAUUUAUCGGUGAUGGAUGGGGAUGCGUCUGAUUAGCUUGUUGGCGGGGUAACGGCCCACCAAGGCGACGAUCAGUAGCCGGUCUGAGAGGAUGAACGGCCACAUUGGAACUGAGACACGGUCCAGACUCCUACGGGAGGCAGCAGUGGGGAAUCUUCCGCAAUGGGCGAAAGCCUGACGGAGCAACGCCGCGUGAGUGAAGAAGGCCUU
Molecule: ribosomal RNA, 401 nt
Filed under: uncultured bacterium
Lineage: Bacteria
Description: bacterial SSU rRNA
Rfam family: Bacterial small subunit ribosomal RNA
Source: RNAcentral